Molecule: non-coding RNA, 74 nt
Organism: Podarcis lilfordi (Lilford's wall lizard)
Lineage: Eukaryota; Metazoa; Chordata; Lepidosauria; Squamata; Lacertidae
Source: the annotation of a GenBank genome assembly
GAAGGGCUGUAGCUCAGAGGUAGACCAUCUGCCUUGUGUGCAGAAAAUCCUUGUUUCAAUCUCCAGCACCUUCA